Molecule: ribosomal RNA, 312 nt
Filed under: uncultured eukaryote
Lineage: Eukaryota
Description: partial large subunit ribosomal RNA
Rfam family: Eukaryotic large subunit ribosomal RNA
Source: RNAcentral
AUAUCAAUAAGCGGAGGAAAAGAAAUUAACUAAGAUUGCCUCAGUAACGGCGAGUGAACAGGGAACAGCUCAGCAUGGAAAUCGGGGCCUCUGGCCUUGACGUGUAGUCUGGAGAUGUACUGCCAACGGAGGCGCAGGUGUAAGCCUCUUGGAAAAGAGCACCAGCGAGGGUGAGAGUCCCGCUCUGUCAUCUGCCGUCCUCCGUGUACGGUGUACAUUCUAAGAGUCACGUUCCUCGGGAUUGGAGCGCAAAGUUGGUGGUAAAUUCCAUCCAAAGCUAAAUAUUGACUCGAGACCGAUAGCGCACAAGUA